This is a long non-coding RNA of Prionailurus viverrinus (fishing cat), 446 nucleotides long. RefSeq lists it as uncharacterized. NCBI's taxonomy places the organism in Eukaryota, Metazoa, Chordata, Mammalia, Carnivora, Felidae. The record is from RefSeq and is a predicted model, not a curated record. The transcript is spliced from 3 exons.
UGUUUCGAUGGUGCUUAGGGCGCUCGGCGCCGGGGCACACGAGUGAUGGAUGAGCGCCCCGGAGGGCCAACUCGGGGGCACUUGCAAGUGCGCCUUGGGCACACCGGGCCUCCGUCUCUCAGAAGAUGAGGGCGGGGCCACGCGUGGUCAGAACAUCUCGGUGGCAGGUUGCUCCCGGAACUGAGUCGCGCAGCAAACCCCGCGGCUGUCAGUGAGGCGUCUUCUCCCAGAGAGCAACAGCUGUCAGCACGGCACCGUCAGGCUUUUCUUUCCAAUGAAGACGCACUGCCGACCACACAGCUGUCUGUGAAUGGCCCCGCGGGUACAAGGACAGGCGAUACAUGGCAGGUCAAUUCUUCCUCCCUCGUUGAGUUAAAGCCGCCAUAUACGUAAGCGGAGGACAACUGGACAAGAACGACGUAUGUGUGAGGAUAUUAUAUCUGGGA